UAAAAAGUCAAGUGUUAAUCUAUCAACUUCAUUAUCUGAGACCUUGAAACUUUUCUUUAGCCUGAAUACUCUUUCCUUUUUGUUACCCCUUACUCUAAAAGUCAUUUCUUCCGGAACUGGUUUAAUUUUCCGACAAAGUUUUCGUCAAUCUGAUCCGCUGUUUCAUCUCGAGAUAAGGAUUUGGUGAUCAUAUAGCCGUAGACUAUUAUUUCAGUAUUGUGAUCAUCUCUUAAAGGUGCUUAAGAUGCUAGGAAUGUUGUGCUUUGGUGAAUCAAGUGCCAUGCCCCGAUGUUUCCGCCAUCGGUUGGGGUGUGACAAACCUCCACUACUCCUCAAGGCUCAAGGUUAUGGCUCCGUGUUCGUGUUCGUCGGUCGGUGAUCGCGUCCAUCCAACCAUGAGCGGCUAGUCUCUUCGGUUUCACCCCGGUGUAGAUGUUGUAAGAUUUUCUAAGGCUUAUGCAUUUGUAUUUUGAUUUGAUUUUGUGACAAAUUGUUUAGUAUUUGAACCUUGGAUAAUUGUCUUGCAUUUGUUUCGAAUUCGUGAAUUGUCGAGUGAUGAUAAAAUUUGACUUUGCGAAAUGGUUAUGUGCAAUUAUGCAUUAUCUUAGGUUAGGAUUUACAUGUCCGAGGUAAUGAAGUGCAUUGCGGUCCGUUGUCUAUGACGUCGAUAGCAAUUGGCACCUAAACUUCGUGAUAGAAAUCCGUUAAUCACUAUAUGCAAUUGAAUCAAGUUAAAACGUGUAAGAACCCUAAGUCUUGCAGUUAUCGAACUGGGCGUGAUCCGUUUUCCCAAUUCUUGUUUUCAGUUAAGUAAUUUAGUUUUGCAUUCUUAGUUAAUAAACAAUUGUAUUAGAUAAUAGCAAUUUGUCGGUUCACUCGGACUCUUUUUACAUUAAACAAACAAAGAAAAUUAGCAAGCUUCAUAAGUAUUUUGUACAUUUUUGUAAAUAGUUUAGACAAUCGAACAACUAGUGUGAUACUGACCACAUAAUCUUCGUGGAUACGAUACUCGACUUACCCUAGCUACCUAGGUAAAUUGGGUUUUUGACUGAUCGGGACGACACGGUCACGUCAAAAUGGCGUCGUUGCCGGGGAGCUAGUGCGCUUAGUAUUUCAUUGCUUGUUCGAUUUUAGUUUAGUUUUUUUUCUUUCUUGUAUAUUCGUGAUUUUACUUUGGGUGGUCGAGCUUGUGUGUGCAGGUACAUGUUUUGCAGGAAUUACUUUUCAAUAUGAAUUGGGUGGAUGAUGAUCCUUGUGAGUGUUGCGGAAGCGGAGAGCAUUAUUUGGAGGAUUGCUCAGUUUUCUACGAAAAAGUUCAAGCUUACAAGGAUCGGGAAGACUACCUUAGCGGAUUGUACAGAUAUGGGAGGGCGGAUUAUGAAGAUUUCAAUGGUCCAUCCUCAUAUUAUCCAUACGAUAAUCCACCACCACCACACUAUCAAGAAUACUACUAUGAAACCGAAUUGCCACAUUUCUCAAGUUACCGGGAGGAGUAUGAUGAUUAUUAUAAUGAAUACCCUCAACCGGCAUCCGAGGAACCUCAAGAUUCAAUGCAUUCCAAGCUUAAUGCUCUCAUAAAUAUGGUGAAAGGAUAUCACGAAGAUAUCAAAGAUAUGAAGAAAGCGAAUGAAGUAAGAGAUAAAGCCCAUGAAGUAUUGGUGAUGCAAGUGGGUCAAUUAGCGGAGGAAAUAGCCCAAAUUAAACGCGACCAAGAGGUUUUGGCUAAUGGUGCAAUGGUGGAUGGUGAUGUGGUGGAAGAGGUUAUGGAACUUUCGGAGCAAGUAAUUGAAUGUUUGAACCGAGCGGAAGACGUAACACCGCAAGACGGGUCAGAGUCAAAAGAAGCUCAAAGUCAUAUCUCUCCUUCUCCCAAACUUAUCACUCCAACCAACAAAGUUAGGGAUGCGGGUUCGGGUAUAAGGAUUCGAAGGGUGGCCUUGCAAGACAUUGUACAAUUCGUCAAGAAACGACCCCAAAGUAGUUUAUACACAUGCCGCGUAAAAUAAAAAGAGAAUGGAUCCGGCAUGCCAACUACCGAGCGUAUGUUGGAAACUCGGUAGGCAAAUGUGCACUUCGACCACCAUGAGAGGUAAAUCCGAUAUGAUUGUUGUAGAGUUUGUAUUAUUUUCAUUUUAUUUUAUUUUCUUAGUUAAAUGAACGUUGUGGGUGUGUUCCCUAUAUAACCCUCAUGAGACCUACUCGUCCUCCCGAGCUAUCGGGUGGUUUAAAAGGGCUUGUUGCAUAAUCUAAAUGCAACCGUGAUUCCUACGAAAGUGAGUUAGGUUUGUUGUUAUUGUAAAUUAUUUUUCCAUAUAAAUCAAAGUGAAUUAACGUAUGACUUGGUAACAAUUUCAUAAAAGUGGUAGAACUAGGUAAUUAAUAAAUUUUAAUGGUUGUGAGAAGCAUGCUUCUACACAAGGGUUAUGAUUUGUAAGUACAUUAUGUUCGUGGGACAACCGCUUUCUUGAAAAGAUAAAGAACACAUGAGCCACUAGCGAGAAAAAUCAGGCAUUGGCGCGUUUAAGGUGCAUUUUGGAGAUUUACUGAAGUUUUGGGCGGAUGCUAGAGAGAACAUAAUUGAAGAAAAUGCAAAAAAGAGGCAAAACUGAGCUGAACUCUGCGCCAGAUGCAGUCCAAACUUCAUUUUGGCUUAUCCUGAGCUAGAAAAUGAGUUUCGGGGCUUAUAAUAUAUGCAUUUGAGGUAGCUCGACGAGACGAAUCAAAAUUUACGAUUUUGAAGGGCCAAAAAUUGACGCAUUAUCUGCUGCACACCGGCUGAUUAGUAAAAACGGGAUUUUUUGAGAGAAAAAGUAAAUUUUGGAAAAGGGGGAGUUACACUUUAUUAUUCCUUCAACUCCCAUUCAUUUGAAAAAAAAAAAAAACAUCUCUAACUCAUCCCUAACACCACCUACCAUUCACCUCUAAACUAGAACCCUAAUCCAUCCACAAUCAUCAUUUCCAUCAUCUUCAAUCAUUCUCCAUCAAACCUUCAAACCCUAACCUCGACCACUUCUCAAGGCUCAAGGUCAUGGCUACGUGUUCGUGUUCGUCGGCCGGUGAUCGCGUCCACCCAACCAUGAGCGGCUAGUCUCUUCGGUUUCACCCCGGUGUAGAUGUUGUAAGAUUUUCUAAGGCUUAUGCAUUUGUAUUUUGAUUUGAUUUUGUGACAAAUUGUUUAAUAUUUGAACC
This is an RNA transcript of Helianthus annuus (common sunflower), 3189 nucleotides long. RefSeq lists it as uncharacterized. The record is from RefSeq and is a predicted model, not a curated record. The transcript is spliced from 5 exons. Lineage: Eukaryota; Viridiplantae; Streptophyta; Magnoliopsida; Asterales; Asteraceae.